This 1761-nucleotide long non-coding RNA is filed under the name Homo sapiens (human). Its description in RNAcentral is "non-protein coding lnc-GAMT-2:3". The record is from RNAcentral. Lineage: Eukaryota; Metazoa; Chordata; Mammalia; Primates; Hominidae.
AGGCUUUAAACGGGUACCGAGAAGGAUCUACUGCCUUCACACGCGCUCCUUUUAACUUAAAACACUGCUUUCACCUUAAAAGAGAAACAAGAGGAACACACGGACGCCAGAAAGAGAAUGACGGAAACGGAGGGGUCAUCUCCAGCAGGGUCCGAAUCCUCAGAUGGAACCACAGGCCACCAGGCCAGCACAGGGGCCUCCGGGAGGGUCCGCCCUGCUCCACGGCCGCAGGGGUGUGUGUGCAUCAGUGAGUGUGCCUGUGUGCAUGCAUGCCAACAGGCACACAUGCAUGUGUCCACACAAGGACGUGUGUGCAUGUGUGUGAGUGUGCAUGUGUGUGCAUGACUGUGCAUAUAUGUGCACGUGUGUGCGAGUGUGCGUGUGCAUGUGUAUAUGUGCGCAUGAGUGUGCAUGAGUGCAAGUGUGCAUGUGUGUAUGUGUGCAAGCGUGUGUGCACAUGUGCUUGUGUGUGCAUGUGUGUGCAAGUGUGCAUGUGUGCGAGUGUGCAUAUGUGCAUUGUGUGCGUGAGUGUGCGUGUGGUCCGUGUACACAUCUGUCCAUACAUGUGAGCUUGCAUGCACAUGUGCGCAUGUGAGUGUGCAUGCAUGUGUUGUGUGUGUACGUGUCUGCACGUUGGUGUGUGUAUGUGUGUGCCUGUGAGUGUGCAGAGAGGCCCUGGCGCUCGAGGAGGGCCUACAGCUCAUAGUACUCACCCGGCGGGCCCAGUUGACGAGGUCAUCCAGCUUGGCCACCACAUACUCGCCCCGGCUGCUGGGUUUGGGAGCCACGGCUCUGGCCUUUGGCAGGGCAGGCUGGGUGCUGGCACAGAGACACACGGGCACAGGAGGCGUCAGCCACGCAGGUGCUUCCCAGAGGCGGAUGCGAGCCCCCACGGCCGCUGCCAGAGGCCUGGACCCACAUGAGCAGGUCAACAGUGUCCAAGCAAGGACGGUCCCAGGAUCAUCCACAGAAGGAAACUGGCAGCAGGCCCUCCACACAUGACCAAGGAAUCUGCAGUCCGCUAAGCGGGGAGGGCGCUGCCCACGUCAAUCUACACAGAAAAGCACCCCUAGAGGAGCCAGCCUCAAAGGAAGCGCAGAGGAGGGAACGCGCCUGCACGAAGUCUCCUGGGAGAGCCUUCCCGAGGCGAAGACUAAGGCCAGAGCAGGGCCUUGCCACGCCCGGGGCACUCAGCGGGAGGAAACCUGGAGGUGCCAGGAAUCCUGGCUCACAAGGAAGAAUCCAGAAAGGCAGGCUUGGUGCUGGUGACGGCUGAACUGUGACCCUCCACCCGACCUGCAUCUGAAGCCCUAACCCCAGGACCUCAGAAUGUGACUGCUUUUGGAGAUGGGGUCUUUAAAGGGAUCACCACCACGCCCAGCUGGUUUGUUUUUGUUUUUGUUUUUGAGACGGAGUUUCACUCUUGUUGCCCAGGAUGGAGUGCAAUGGUGCAAUCUUAGCUCACUGCAACCUCCGCCUCCCGGGUUCAAGCGAUUCUCUUGCCCCAGCCCCCCAGUAGCUGCGAUUACAGGCAUGCGCCACCACACCCAGCUGAUUUUGUAUUUUUAGUAGAGACGGGGUUUCUCCAUGUUGGCCAGGCUGGUCUCGAACUCCGGACCUCAGGUGAUCCGCCCACCUUGGCCUUCCAAAGUGCUGGGAUUACAGGCGUGAGCCACCGCGCGUGGGCCAGGCAUUCUUAACAAGGGGCCUGGUGAGGAUUCAGAACUGUGAAUUUGCUUGGAAUAAAAAAAUAUAUAUGUC